Molecule: ribosomal RNA, 253 nt
Filed under: uncultured bacterium
Lineage: Bacteria
Description: partial 16S ribosomal RNA
Rfam family: Bacterial small subunit ribosomal RNA
Source: RNAcentral
UACGGAGGGGGCUAGCGUUGUUCGGAAUUACUGGGCGUAAAGCGCGCGUAGGCGGACGUGCAAGUCGGGGGUGAAAGCCCGGGGCUCAACCUCGGAACUGCCUUCCAGACUGCGGGUCUAGAGUCCGUGAGAGGAGAGUGGAAUUCCUAGUGUAGAGGUGAAAUUCGUAGAUAUUCGGAAGAACACCAGUGGCGAAGGCGACUGACUGGCCCAUUUCUGACGCUGAGGUGCGAAAGCGUGGGGAGCAAACAGG